CGCGUAGGCGGCAGCGUGUGUCGGAUGUGAAAAGCUCCGGGCUCAACCCGGAAAGUGCGUUCGAAACUGCGUUGCUCGAGUGCGGGAUGGGAGAUCGGAAUGCAAGGUGUAGCGGUGAAAUGCGUUGAUAUCUUGCAGAACACCGGUGGCGAAGGCGGAUCUCUGGAACGCAACUGACGCUGAGGCGCGAAAGGUAUGGGAGCAAACA
This 208-nucleotide ribosomal RNA is filed under the name uncultured bacterium. Its description in RNAcentral is "partial 16S ribosomal RNA". It matches the Rfam family "Bacterial small subunit ribosomal RNA", at positions 568 to 774 of the family's 1533-position model. The record is from RNAcentral.